AGUCGAACGAUGAACCUCCUUCGGGAGGGGAUUAGUGGCGAACGGGUGAGUAACACGUGGGCAAUCUGCCCUGCACUCUGGGACAAGCCCUGGAAACGGGGUCUAAUACCGGAUACUGAUCAUCUUGGGCAUCCUUGGUGAUCGAAAGCUCCGGCGGUGCAGGAUGAGCCCGCGGCCUAUCAGCUUGUUGGUGAGGUAAUGGCUCACCAAGGCGACGACGGGUAGCCGGCCUGAGAGGGCGACCGGCCACACUGGGACUGAGACACGGCCCAGACUCCUACGGGAGGCAGCAGUGGGGAAUAUUGCACAAUGGGCGCAAGCCUGAUGCAGCGACGCCGCGUGAGGGAUGACGGCCUUCGGGUUGUAAACCUCUUUCAGCAGGGAAGAAGCGAAAGUGACGGUACCUGCAGAAGAAGCGCCGGCUAACUACGUGCCAGCAGCCGCGGUAAUACGUAGGGCGCGAGCGUUGUCCGGAAUUAUUGGGCGUAAAGAGCUCGUAGGCGGCUUGUCACGUCGGUUGUGAAAGCCCGGGGCUUAACCCCGGGUCUGCAGUCGAUACGGGCAGGCUAGAGUUCGGUAGGGGAGAUCGGAAUUCCUGGUGUAGCGGUGAAAUGCGCAGAUAUCAGGAGGAACACCGGUGGCGAAGGCGGAUCUCUGGGCCGAUACUGACGCUGAGGAGCGAAAGCGUGGGGAGCGAACAGGAUUAGAUACCCUGGUAGUCCACGCCGUAAACGGUGGGCACUAGGUGUGGGCGACAUUCCACGUCGUCCGUGCCGCAGCUAACGCAUUAAGUGCCCCGCCUGGGGAGUACGGCCGCAAGGCUAAAACUCAAAGGAAUUGACGGGGGGCCCGCACAAGCGGCGGAGCAUGUGGCUUAAUUUCGACGCAACGCGAAGAA
Molecule: ribosomal RNA, 898 nt
Filed under: Streptomyces sp.
Lineage: Bacteria; Bacillati; Actinomycetota; Actinomycetes; Kitasatosporales; Streptomycetaceae
Description: bacterial SSU rRNA
Rfam family: Bacterial small subunit ribosomal RNA
Source: RNAcentral